Molecule: ribosomal RNA, 468 nt
Filed under: uncultured bacterium
Lineage: Bacteria
Description: partial 16S ribosomal RNA
Rfam family: Bacterial small subunit ribosomal RNA
Source: RNAcentral
GACGAACGCUGGCGGCGUGCUUAACACAUGCAAGUCGAACGGAAAGGCCCUGAUUUUGUGGGGUGCUCGAGGGGCGAACGGGGGAGUAACACGUGAGUAACCUGCUCUUGACUUUGGGAUAACUUCAGGAAGCUGGGGCUAAUACCGGAUAGGAGCUCCUGCUGCGUGGUGGGCGGUGGAAAGUUUCGGCGGUUGGGGAUGGACUCGCGGCUUAUCAGCUUGUUGGUGGGGUAGUGGCUUACCAAGGCUUUGACGGGUAGCCGGCCUGGGAGGGUGGACGGCGACAUUGGGACUGAGAUACGGCCCAGACUCCUACGGGAGGCAGUAGUGGGGAAUAUUGCACAAUGGGCGGAAGCCUGAUGCAGCAACGCCGCGUGCGGGAUGACGGCCUUCGGGUUGUAAACCGCUUUCGCCUGUGACGAAGCGUGAGUGACGGUAAUGGGUAAAGAAGCACCGGCUAACUACGUG